Molecule: unclassified non-coding RNA, 2013 nt
Filed under: uncultured fungus
Lineage: Eukaryota; Fungi
Description: sequence contains 18S rRNA gene, ITS1, 5.8S rRNA gene, ITS2, 28S rRNA gene
Rfam family: Eukaryotic large subunit ribosomal RNA (bases 870-2013)
Source: RNAcentral
GGAAGGAUCAUUAACACGUAUCCACGUAUCUACCUAACGCGAACUUCUUUUUGUUUAUAGUUGUACCAGGUAUUAAUGGAAGCAGAUGACCAUGUCGGUUUUCUUAGGUCCUUUUUUGGCCCUUUGAUGAAACGUUCUGCUUGCCUAUCCUUCCCUCUGUUGAGUGCUAGUGUAUUGAGGUUGACCCAUGACUUCGGUUGUGAGGCAAUCCUAUUAGCCAUAACUCCUUGGGAAUUAGGGUAUCUGGUGUAACUCGAAUCAUGGUGGUUAUUAACAUAUAAACCCUGUCUUCAUUUAUGUUUGUGAGUUCUUCUAGUGACAUCUCGGUGACACUAGUCCUCCCCCCAAUAACACUAUACAACUCUUAGCAACGGAUAUCUCGGUUCUCCUAUCGAUGAAGAACGCAGCGAAAUGCGAUACGUAAUGCGAAUUGCAGAAUUCAGUGAAUCAUCGAAUCUUUGAACGCAAAUUGCACUCUCGGGUAGCCCCGAGAGUACUCUUCUUUCAGUAUCGGUUCCACACGAACUCAGCUGCGUGCUGGAAAAUGAGAGUCAGAGCAUUUACCUUUAUCAGUGAAGCUUUGUCUCUUUAAGUAUUCUAUGCUUGCAACGCCUGUAAUGCCGAAAGGAUGUCUCUACACCAACACCUCGAGUGUACGAAAGUACGGCUUCCAAUAGCAAACAGCGUCACUGUCCUCUGAUAAGUUUCCUUUUAUUUGGAUUCCCCUCUAAGGACUCGGUGGAGAUCGCUGGGAUUGGCCAGAAAAAGUCACUUGGGAUUGGGGAUAUCGGCCGAGUAACGCACUACUAAUGGUGUUCGGAGCUUUCUUUAAGAAAACUGAAUUCUACCUUCGGGAGAAUUUAUGAAUUUGAUCUGAAAUGAAGUGAGACUACCCGCCGAAUUUAAGCAUAUUAUUAAGCGGAGGAAAAGAAACUAACAAGGAUUCCCCUAGUAACGGCGAGUGAAGCGGGAAAAGCUCAACCUGAAAAUCGGUGUACCUAGCGGUGCUCCGAAUUGUGGGGUAGUGACGUAGUGCCAGCGUGUGACCUGGGUAUAAAUCUUUUGAAACAAGGUAUCAGAGAGGGUGAGAAUCCCGUCUUUGACCCGGAGUUUGCCGCGUACGGCCUGCGUUCUAAGAGUCGGAUAGCUUGGGAAUGCUGUCCUAAAUGGGUGGUAAAUUUCAUCUAAAGCUAAAUAUAGAGGAGAGACCGAUAGCGAACAAGUACCGUGAGGGAAAGAUGAAAAGAACUUUGAAAAGAGAGUUAAAAAGUACUUGAAAUUGCUAAGAGGUAAGCACUGGAAACCAGUCAUGCCUGGAGUUAUUUGCCUAUUCGCUGGUUGCACCGGUAGUCGCUGGGACCUUAACGGCCCUGUGACCUCUGUUUGUGAUCAGGGGGUGGGAUCUGUAACUUUGGGCGAGUCAACAUCAGUUAGUCUCGCGGGAGAAUGUUGUUUGGGAGGUAGUCCACCUUAGCAAUAAGGAGGAAACUAAUAUACCAAGCAGCGCUACCGUGGGGCUGACUGAGGAAACGAUAACGCGCCCCGCAAGGGAGCGGUCCCUAGUUCCUGCUCUUGUAGUCGGUGCGGAAAACAAAGUUUUGCGUAUUGGCUAUCUUGGGUACUGAGUUGGGUAGAUCAGCUGCGUGUUCGCGAUGUUGACGAAAUGGUUUUCAUUGACCCGUCUUGAAACACGGACCAAGGAGUCUAACAUAUAUGCGAGUAUUUGGGUGCGUAAAACCCUGAUGCGUAAUGAAAGUAAAGCAGGUCUUAUGACCUGUGAGGUAGGAACCCUGGGCUCGUCUCGGGAGGCACUAUCGACCGAUCGAUCAUUUAUGAGAGAUUUGAGUAAGAGCAUAUCUGUUGGGACCCGAAAGAUGGUGAACUAUGCCUGAUCAGGGCGAAGCCAGGGGAAACUCUGGUGGAGGCUCGUAGCGAUACUGACGUGCAAAUCGUUCGUCUGAAUUGGGUAUAGGGGCGAAAGACUAAUCGAACCAUCUAGUAGCUGGUUCCCUC